Molecule: long non-coding RNA, 303 nt
Filed under: Actinidia chinensis (golden kiwifruit)
Lineage: Eukaryota; Viridiplantae; Streptophyta; Magnoliopsida; Ericales; Actinidiaceae
Description: long non-coding RNA (ACHI_LNC006378)
Source: RNAcentral
ACGAAGAUGAUGCCAGCGUCAGUGAUUGAAAAGUCGAAUCCUUGAAAACCAAAAGAUUUCGCCAUCUAGGUACCACUUGCAUUAUAAUCAACCGAUUUGAAUUUGACAAAUAACUAUAUUCAGAUUCGAGUUACAUUCUAUAUGUAUAUACAUGUACAUUCCCAAGAAUUUCUACUCUUCCGCCAAAGGAUUGUUGGUGCACAAAGUUCGGGUUUUCAUGGUAGCCUCUCUCUCUCUCUCUCUCUCUCUCUCUUUUCUAGGUCUGAUGCGGGGAAUAUAUGGGCUGGCCCGGCUGGGUAUGCU